This 19-nucleotide unclassified non-coding RNA is filed under the name Mus musculus (house mouse). Its description in RNAcentral is "oocyte_clustered_small_RNA4303". Lineage: Eukaryota; Metazoa; Chordata; Mammalia; Rodentia; Muridae. The record is from RNAcentral.
ACAGCUGCAGCAAGACCAA